This 336-nucleotide unclassified non-coding RNA is filed under the name Celeribacter neptunius. RNAcentral's name for it is "Long range pseudoknot". Lineage: Bacteria; Pseudomonadati; Pseudomonadota; Alphaproteobacteria; Rhodobacterales; Roseobacteraceae. The record is from RNAcentral.
ACCGAUGUGCACGAUUAUCAGGUCAAGAUGCGCAAUGUCGUCAAAUUCCUCGAGAAUGGCGACAAGGUGAAAGUGACCCUGCGCUUCCGCGGUCGCGAAAUGGCGCACCAGGAUCUGGGCCGUCAGCUUCUCGAACGCGUGGCCGAGGACACCAAGGAGAUCGGCAAGGUCGAGAACAUGCCGAAGAUGGAAGGCCGUCAGAUGAUCAUGAUGAUCGGGCCGCUGCCCUCGAAAGGCUGAUUGGCGCAAGGCCAGAACAGAUUUUGAACCCCGGAUGCCCGCAUCCGGGGUUUUGUUUUGUCCUGCGGACGAAACGAUGAGCCCAUUGGGGACAUU